UGACAGUAUUUCUUAAUCUUAAUGUUAGUUAAAAAAUAUAAUUGUUAAUUGUUAGUUCACAUUCAGGUCCAUAAAUAAUAUUAACAGAUACAACAUUCGAUUUUAAUAAAGUAGUAGGAAAUGUUGAAAUUAACAUUAACUAAGAUUAAUAAAUGCUUUAGAAGUAUUUUCGUUGUUAUUUCAUGUUAGCUAAUGUUAUUACCUAAUGUUAACAAAUGGAAUCUUAAUGAAAAAUUUCAUUAUCAUACACAAAAAGACAUAUUUGUUAAUUGACAUUUUUAAUAAUACUGUUUAAAAUAAUACUUGCUACAAAUUAUGUUGAUUGAUUACAUUUUAUAUUAUACAAUGAUUUCAUAUUAUUUCAUUAUAUGUAUUAAUUAAAAUGAAUUAAUAAAUAAUUAAAUUAUUUUAAUUAAAUGUUUAUUUUAUGGGCCCUGCCAGAAGAAUUCUCUAAUAGACGAGGCUUUUUAUUGCAUGAAAUACCUUUAUUGUGUUUGUUGAUCUGCUAUGAUUUAUAAUUCUGAAAUCCAUCUUCCUGUCAAACCAAUUCAGCUUUCUGUGGUGUGUGUUUGUGUGUGUGUGCAGUUCCUCUGAAUUAUGCCCAGCUUUUUCAAUAUGAAAUAUUUGGCAUCUUGUUAGAACAAUUUUGCCUCAGCCAUAGUAAAAUGAGAUAAUUUGUCAAAAAAAAAAAAAACCUUCUAGUUUUUUUCUUUUUCAGUAUGUCGUACAGCCAUGCCUGCUGAUAUUGUGUUCCUGGUGGAUGAUUCCUGGUCAGUGGGUCUAACCAGCUUCCAGCAGAUCAAAGAGUUCAUAGCGGACAUCAUCCGAGGCUUUCAGGGAAGUGUGGUUGGACAGGAAGGCAUUCGCUUUGGAGUUACUGUCUAUUCUGACUUGCCCAGAUUGCUGUUCUGAUCACUAAUGGCCAAUCAGAUGAUCCAGUGGACAGUCCAGCUAAAGCUGUAACAGACAGUGGAAUUUCCCUGUUUGCUGUGGGUGAGUUGAAAACUUGGUGUUCUUCAUGUCAGAAGUGUUUGUGUUGUAGUCUAAACGGGCAUGACACGUCUGUGUGCACUUCUUCAUGUUUUGACGUGUGGUUCAGAGUAACUAUAGUGAAUAGUACAACGCAGCAAGACAUAGAAUGUGUAUCAGAGCCGAUCCUCCCUAUACACAAAAUACGCAAGCUGCAUAUGGCCCCUGAAACACCAGGGGGCCCCCUUGCUUUAAAAGAUUAUUUAAUUUUAGUUUUGUUUUUGAAUUUGGCCAGCAGUUAUGAAAACGAUCAUUUGAAAAAUUAUAAUUUCUUUUAAUGCGGUGUGCUGUCGCCCUUUCUACGUAAAAAUCAGUUAAAUCAUGUAAUGUGAAUGUCAUAGAGUCUUGCUCGGGACUAAAAAAACGAGUUGAAAGAGUUCCGAGCCACAGAAGAGACACUGCUUCUUAAGCGCUUUCCGCGAGCGCGAUUCGAGACGGAGUGAAACAUGGACAAAUGCGUUUCAUUCAUUCGUUCAUAACCACUCAUAACCCACUCCAUGUUUGCGUAGGGCCCCCUGAAGUAUAGGAUGGGCUCUGAUGUGUAUGUUUAUGUGUGUGUCAGCCUUGUUUCCUUUCUCGCGCUCUUUCUGUUUUGACGCCCAGAGUGCUGAAAUAAUUAUGGUUCAUUACCCGGUGGCUGACUAAUUGCUGUAAUUUUUCAUCAAACUCAUUCCUCCUGGCCCCCUUUAUCACACACACACACACACACACACACACACACACACACACACACACACACACACACACACACACACACACACACACACACAAACACACACUCACUGACACUGUUUCCUGCCUUUCUAAUCAGAUUUCCCAGAGGGACGUGAAUAUAUCUGGCCGUUUGACACAUCUGUGAGACACAUGUACAGCAGGGCGACAUGCCGUGGCAUUUUCCCAAUAUCACUUUACAGCCAAUACACUGUCUGAUAACACUGCAGCAGGUCUGAGACACGUAAGGGUCAUUUCUAUACACACACACCUGUUAAGCAUCAGCUGCACCUAACAGGCCUCCAUUCUAUGACAGUGUUAAAUGGUCAAGUUGGAAAUGUGAAAUAGUGAUUAGUGAAUAGUCAUAGUGCUCAUAUGGGUGAUGAGGGUUCGAGUUUGACCUGCAGCCUGCCCCGAAUCCAUAAUGUGUAAGAAAUGAUGAAGCGGAUCUGUAUAGAAGCUGAUCUGUGCCAUUUCGACUAGCUGAUAUGUUGUAUGUUCUUAAGGGGUAAGGAAUGCUGACCAGUCCGAGAUGAGGAAAAUCGUCACAGAGCCCCAUGAGGAACAUUUACAGCUCACCCAGAUUUCUCCUUUCUGGAGAACCUUCUGCCCAAACUCUCUCGUUGCAUCUGCUUCACUGCUUCAGAACCUCCCCAACCUGUUAAACAAAAGCCACCUGGUAAAAACACCAUGAGUUUUUCUACCUUUUUGUUAUUGCUGUUGUUUGUAACUAUAGUUUUGCUGCAUAUUGAGCCUAUCUGAACAGAGUUAACCCUUCACUAAAUUCUGCCAUCCUUUGUUGCUUUUGUUCCCUUAGACGAGCUUUACAGAAUACACCAUAAUCAUUAAUGGGAAAUUAAUGUAAACAGUAUCAUUUCCAGUAAAAUGUGCACACAAAUUAUGUG
Molecule: long non-coding RNA, 2645 nt
Organism: Cyprinus carpio carpio
Lineage: Eukaryota; Metazoa; Chordata; Actinopteri; Cypriniformes; Cyprinidae
Source: Ensembl